UACGUAGGGUGCGAGCGUUAAUCGGAAUUACUGGGCGUAAAGUGUGCGCAGGCGGCAGAGCAAGUCGAGUGUGAAAGCCCCGGGCUCAACCUGGGAACUGCAUUUGUGACUGCAUAGCUAGAGUACGGUAGAGGGGGAUGGAAUUCCGCGUGUAGCAGUGAAAUGCGUAGAUAUGCGGAGGAACACCGAUGGCGAAGGCAAUCCCCUGGACCUGUACUGACGCUCAUGCACGAAAGCGUGGGGAGCAAACAGG
Molecule: ribosomal RNA, 253 nt
Filed under: uncultured bacterium
Lineage: Bacteria
Description: partial 16S ribosomal RNA
Rfam family: Bacterial small subunit ribosomal RNA
Source: RNAcentral